This is a long non-coding RNA of Ostrea edulis (European flat oyster), 628 nucleotides long. RefSeq lists it as uncharacterized. NCBI's taxonomy places the organism in Eukaryota, Metazoa, Mollusca, Bivalvia, Ostreida, Ostreidae. The transcript has 2 exons. The record is from RefSeq and is a predicted model, not a curated record.
CUAAGCGAAUUAAAAGGUUUUAUAUAAAUAUUCAUUCAUUCAUUCAUUCAUCCAAUAAUACUAGAAUAAUCAUGGAAUUCGUUGUUUUUGUGAACUUACUGUAAGAUUUUAAGUUUAACACUAAAACUUGUAAAAUCAUACUUUAUAAUGCAAUAGCACGGCUACCCAUGUCCUAAAUCAUAAUGUAUCGGUUAUGAAAGAAAAUUCGUUUGGAGUGUUUCCGGUUAUGAGUUAAAAGAGAACAACACGCCGCUUCGACAGGUAGGUAGAUCUGAGUUUUUCUUGUUUAUGAUCAUUUAACCACUGUUGACAAAAAUCGGGGAAUGUAGUCAGCUGUAGAAAUGAUUAAAGUACACGAGACCACAAUUACCCAUAUCUAAAGCGGCAAGACGACACGAGAUGAUUUUCCGAGAGCAGAAGGAGGUUAAAUUUCUAUCCAAACGGGUCAGAUGGAAAGAACUCAGCACAGGUGUGAAUAUAAAGGAUGCGACAAAGUUUACCAUCAAUUAAAAGAGGAAACCGACUUUGCAUAUGAAAAUUCAACAUAGCUUUAUUGACAUCGGUCACUUACUUGUUUUGCUUUUGUUGUUUUUGUUUGGUAUUUAACAUUAAAGAGAGAUUAUUUGAG